Chionomys nivalis (European snow vole) is the source of this 771-nucleotide long non-coding RNA. RefSeq lists it as uncharacterized. Lineage: Eukaryota; Metazoa; Chordata; Mammalia; Rodentia; Cricetidae. The transcript has 3 exons. The record is from RefSeq and is a predicted model, not a curated record.
CGCCUCCCUCCGAGCGCAGGACGCUCCGACGCCCGCCUGCCCGCAGGCCACCACAGGAACCCCAACGGUGCAGAACUGUGCCACCGCGCCUAGAAGACAGCCUGAGGCUCCUGGGCAGAUCCCGAAAGCAGAGAGCAUAUAUGUGCUUCCAUCAACAUCCUGUGACUUCAUACAUCUACAGAGGUCCUUGUGUUCCUGAGCUGAUUGACAGCCACUAAGAACCAUUUGAAAGGUGUGAAGGAGUGUUAAUAAGUUCAGGAGCAAAACACUUCCCUGCGCUGGGCUCCAGAAAAUACCCUGAAAUUUUAAGUGAUGGUUGAGAUGAGGCAUGGAGAUUUCUGCAGAAAACCACAGUGCCUUUCAAAUCUACACCCUCAAACACUCAUCCAGCUUAGCAGAGAGUUGAAUAUACUGUGCUGGGCUGUGAAUCGCCACCUCCUCCCAUCCCCCGCCCUCUCUCAGAGUUUCUGGAAAGAGGACAGAAAUAUGUGUGAACGUCAUCAGUAUAGGCAUAUCUCUGACACAGCUGCUCUGGGGCAGUGUGGGGUCAGCUGUGAAGCGACUGGCUGAUCAGCUGGGGAAGUACAGUAAAUGCUUUGUUAAAAAACAUUGCUUAGAACAGAACAACUGUUUUCAUUUUUCCUUAAAAGAAACAUGUUCUCUCCUUGGCGACAUGUGCUCUUGUGUUCAGUAACAAGAGAGAAGAAAUGCAUUAAGGAUAUGCAGGUUCUGGGUUAUUUGUUUAUUUACUUUGAAGUGCUGAGGCUGGAA